Molecule: transfer RNA, 88 nt
Filed under: Actinopolyspora mzabensis
Lineage: Bacteria; Bacillati; Actinomycetota; Actinomycetes; Actinopolysporales; Actinopolysporaceae
Description: tRNA_Ser_TGA
Rfam family: tRNA
About the family: Transfer RNA (tRNA) molecules are approximately 80 nucleotides in length. Their secondary structure includes four short double-helical elements and three loops (D, anti-codon, and T loops). Further hydrogen bonds mediate the characteristic L-shaped molecular structure. tRNAs have two regions of fundamental functional importance: the anti-codon, which is responsible for specific mRNA codon recognition, and the 3' end, to which the tRNAs corresponding amino acid is attached (by aminoacyl-tRNA synthetases). tRNAs cope with the degeneracy of the genetic code in two manners: having more than one tRNA (with a specific anti-codon) for a particular amino acid; and 'wobble' base-pairing, i.e. permitting non-standard base-pairing at the 3rd anti-codon position.
Source: RNAcentral
GGAAGCGUGGCAGAGCGGCCUAAUGCACUCGCCUUGAAAGCGAGCGGCCCGAGAGGGCCCGGGGGUUCGAAUCCCCCCGCUUCCGCCG